AGGGAACAGUCAGUCCAUGCUUUUGAAAAGACAAAAAGGGGUUAACCUGCUAGCAGAGUUCAGCGCUAAUUUUAAACAAAUUUAUUAGAUUUUUGUUUUAGAUAUGGUAGUGUUCCCGAUCUAUGGAAUAGACCUGUAAUUAUUAAUCCUUUUCCUAAUUGAUCUAACAUGGUAGACGCAAAAGACCCCGUUGUUAUGGAGGGAUCGACAUUGCAGCAGUGUCUUACACAUUGUACUGUAUUAUACUGAACGAUAGAUAAGCUCAGUGGGUAGAUGAUAACAAUGUUCGGGCUGAAAAACAGAAUAGUUUGCGGCAACAACAUAGACCAAUCAUCUAUCCUUAAUAAUUUUAUUGAUGUUAGAAAAAAAAAC
Molecule: long non-coding RNA, 372 nt
Filed under: Mytilus galloprovincialis (Mediterranean mussel)
Lineage: Eukaryota; Metazoa; Mollusca; Bivalvia; Mytilida; Mytilidae
Source: RNAcentral